RNAcentral lists this ribosomal RNA (376 nucleotides) under uncultured bacterium. RNAcentral describes it as "bacterial SSU rRNA". It matches the Rfam family "Bacterial small subunit ribosomal RNA", at positions 524 to 898 of the family's 1533-position model. The record is from RNAcentral.
UACGUAGGGUGCGAGCGUUAAUCGGAAUUACUGGGCGUAAAGGGUGCGCAGGCGGUUUUGUAAGACAGAUGUGAAAUCCCCGGGCUUAACCUGGGAACUGCGUUUGUGACUGCAAGGCUAGAGUACGGCAGAGGGGGGUGGAAUUCCGCGUGUAGCAGUGAAAUGCGUAGAUAUGCGGAGGAACACCGAUGGCGAAGGCAACCCCCUGGGCCUGUACUGACGCUCAUGCACGAAAGCGUGGGGAGCAAACAGGAUUAGAUACCCUGGUAGUCCACGCCCUAAACGAUGUCAACUAGUCGUUCGGAGCAGCAAUGCACUGAGUGACGCAGCUAACGCGUGAAGUUGACCGCCUGGGGAGUACGGCCGCAAGGUUAAA